RNAcentral lists this non-coding RNA (29 nucleotides) under Homo sapiens (human). The record is from RNAcentral. Lineage: Eukaryota; Metazoa; Chordata; Mammalia; Primates; Hominidae.
UGAGUUUUCUUUGUCUUGGCUUGGACGUG